This 902-nucleotide ribosomal RNA is filed under the name uncultured bacterium. Its description in RNAcentral is "bacterial SSU rRNA". It matches the Rfam family "Bacterial small subunit ribosomal RNA", at positions 8 to 917 of the family's 1533-position model. The record is from RNAcentral.
AGAGUUUGAUCCUGGCUCAGGACGAACGCUGGCGGCGUGCUUAACACAUGCAAGUCGAACGGAAUCCAUGGUGUAGCAAUACACCGGAAGAUUUAGUGGCGAACGGGUGAGGAUCACGUGAGAAACGUGCCCCAGACUCUGGGAUAACAAUUGGAAACGAUUGCUAAUACCGGAUGACGUCGGAGAAUCGCAUGAUUCACUGACGAAAGAUAUUUCGGUUUGGGAGCGUCUCGCGGCCUAUCAGCUUGUUGGUGGGGUAAUGGCCUACCAAGGCAACGACGGGUAGCUGGUCUGAGAGGAUGAUCAGCCACACUGGGACUGAGACACGGCCCAGACUUCUACGGGAGGCAGCAGUGGGGAAUCUUGCGCAAUGGGCGAAAGCCUGACGCAGCAACGCCGCGUGCGGGAUGAAGGCCUUCGGGCUGUAAACCGCUUUCAGCAGGAACGAAAAUGACGGUACCUGCAGAAGAAGGAGCGGCCAACUACGUGCCAGCAGCCGCGGUGACACGUAGGCUCCAAGCGUUGUCCGGAUUUAUUGGGCGUAAAGAGCUCGUAGGCGGUUGAGUAAGUCGGGUGUGAAAACUCUGGGCUUAACCCGGAGACGCCAUCCGAUACUGCUCUGACUAGAGUUCAGGAGGGGAGUGGGGAAUUCCUAGUGUAGCGGUGAAAUGCGCAGAUAUUAGGAGGAACACCGGUGGCGAAGGCGCCACUCUGGACUGAAACUGACGCUGAGGAGCGAAAGCAUGGGUAGCAAACAGGAUUAGAUACCCUGGUAGUCCAUGCCGUAAACGGUGGGCACUAGGUGUGGGUUCCAACUAACGGGAUCCGCGCCGUCGCUAACGCAUUAAGUGCCCCGCCUGGGGAGUACGGUCGCAAGACUAAAACUCAAAGGAAUUGACGGG